RNAcentral lists this unclassified non-coding RNA (255 nucleotides) under Hevea brasiliensis (rubber tree). The record is from RNAcentral. Lineage: Eukaryota; Viridiplantae; Streptophyta; Magnoliopsida; Malpighiales; Euphorbiaceae.
GAAUCUUUUUCAUGAAAUGCUUGUGCAAACUCAUCAAUUGUGAAGGAACAGAUAUUAAUUCUUGCAGCAUAAGUACAAAGAAAGUGGAAGACCUUGAACAGUUUCUUGGCGAGCUCUGGAGAGGAAUCCCAUGGUCGCUCAUAGAGAGGCAGCUUCAUUAUUACUGAAUUGGGAGGAAACUUUGGAAGUAAACCUUUGCAAAGUGAACAUCCACGAAGUCCAUUGCUUGCAAAGUGUGUACAGCAUGUCAAUGAG